RNAcentral lists this ribosomal RNA (292 nucleotides) under uncultured bacterium. RNAcentral's name for it is "partial 16S ribosomal RNA". It matches the Rfam family "Bacterial small subunit ribosomal RNA", at positions 505 to 796 of the family's 1533-position model. The record is from RNAcentral.
GUGUCAGCCGCCGCGGUAAUACGAAGGGGGCUAGCGUUGCUCGGAAUGACUGGGCGUAAAGGGCGCGUAGGCGGUGUACACAGUCAGAUGUGAAAUUCCCGGGCUCAACCUGGGGGCUGCAUUUGAUACAUGUACGCUUGAGUUCGGAAGAGGGUCGUGGAAUUCCCAGUGUAGAGGUGAAAUUCGUAGAUAUUGGGAAGAACACCGGUGGCGAAGGCGGCGACCUGGUCCGACACUGACGCUGAGGCGCGAAAGCGUGGGGAGCAAACAGGAUUAGAUACCCUCGUAGUCC